RNAcentral lists this ribosomal RNA (453 nucleotides) under uncultured bacterium. Its description in RNAcentral is "bacterial SSU rRNA". It matches the Rfam family "Bacterial small subunit ribosomal RNA", at positions 340 to 786 of the family's 1533-position model. The record is from RNAcentral.
UACGGGAGGCAGCAGUGGGGAAUAUUGCACAAUGGGCGCAAGCCUGAUGCAGCCAUGCCGCGUGUAUGAAAAAGGCCUUCGGGUUGUAAAGUACUUUCAGUCGUGAGGAAGGUGUUAAGGUUAAUAACCUUAGCAAUUGACGUUAGCGACAGAAGAAGCACCGGCUAACUCCGUGCCAGCAGCCGCGGUAAUACGGAGGGCGCGAGCGUUAAUCGGAAUUACUGGGCGUAAAGGGCACGCAGGCGGUUAAUUAAGUUGGAUGUGAAAUCCCCGGGCUUAACCUGGGAAUGGCAUUCAAGACUGGUUAGCUAGAGUCUUGUAGAGGGGGUAGAAUUCCAUGUGUAGCGGUGAAAUGCGUAGAGAUGUGGAGGAAUACCGGUGGCGAAGGCGGCCCCUGGACAAAGACUGACGCUCAUGUGCGAAAGCGUGGGGAGCAAACAGGGAUUAGAUACC